Molecule: long non-coding RNA, 1310 nt
Organism: Cavia porcellus (domestic guinea pig)
Lineage: Eukaryota; Metazoa; Chordata; Mammalia; Rodentia; Caviidae
Exons: 3
Source: RefSeq, a predicted model, not a curated record
CUCAGUUUCUGGGUGACUGUGUGUCAUCUGUGCAGAAUCUAAUUCAAGCAUGUGAUUUCAAGUUUGGAACCACUGACACCAACUUGAAGGAAUAAAACAAUAAGAUAUGACCACCAUCAUGGGACAUUUGCAUGCAUGCAUCUGGAGGAGGCUUUAGAAUGACUUGGGCAGUUGGACCGGAAGAUGGACACCACAGAUCCAUAGCAAGCCCACCUGUCCCAGGGGUCCUGUUGUCUAUUUCAUAAAAUGACCGUGUGACUUUCAACAUGAAUAAAAGCAAGGAUGCUGACACCAACAAUGUUAUUAAAGAUGGGUUUCAGCGUGAGCCAGCUGUACAUCACCCUGAAGAUUGUGCUUGAGAGAUGUUUUUGUCCUGACCUGGUAGUGGGGGCCACGGUUCACAGUGACACAGCACCUCACCUCUCCAAGUGUGGCAUGUGGACCAGCAGCAUCAUAGCACUACCUGAAGCAUCUUAGCAAGACUGAACGUAAGGUUUUAUCUUGGACCCACUGAUUCAAACUCUGCACAUUAACAUGAUCUCCCGGGGAGCUGUGUGUGCACUGAAGUUAGGAAGCCCAGACUGCAGGGCAUCCUGGGAAGUCAGGAGGUGCAGAUGACUUUGCUCGGUGUUUUUUCCCCAGAUCACAGAUUAAAGACACCUUGGGAUGGGGAGCAGGCAGUGAUCAUAUUCUUUAAUCCCUUGGUCACUUUCAUGCAGCCUUGCUUACGAAUAAUUGACAUUUCUGCCUGGUGUAAUCAGAGGAAGUAUAAUUUGUUUUUAUCUGCAGCAAAAGUAAGCAGAACCACAUGAAAAGCCUGCAAACAUUUGCCCCUGGGCUUGAAAAUCAGUUUGGUUCAGACCCUUUUGUUAUACUAUCAAGAAAAUGAGGUAACCAGUGUGUUAUGACUCCUUGGAAGGACUUUUAUCAUCAAUUUGAAUUUUAUGCUAAAUGUAUUUAUUUAAGGCAAAAAACUAUGAGACGUGAAAGCAACACACUGCUAUUUUAGCUAAUCUCGGGGUGUCAGAGACGAAGGUUUUCUCUUGUAUGCUGUACAGUGGGCAUCUUAUGUGAGAAUUCCAUCCUAUGUCAUCACACUCAUUCAUCCAUUUAUGUACUGGUCUUUCAUUCAAUAUAUACACACAGAUCUCUUAUAUUGCAAGUGGUAUAACUAGCCAAAAAGGAAAAACAUAAUGAAAAGAAAAAAUCCUGACUGUCAAAAGUUGUAUCUUUCUUCUGUUCUUUGACUCAGUAAGAAAAUGUGACAUCUUCUUUUCUUUAUGACCAAUAAAAGUAGGCAUGGCUAAAUA